Molecule: long non-coding RNA, 1057 nt
Organism: Solanum tuberosum (potato)
Lineage: Eukaryota; Viridiplantae; Streptophyta; Magnoliopsida; Solanales; Solanaceae
Exons: 8
Source: RefSeq, a predicted model, not a curated record
UUUCAUUCCGACGUUUUUUCUUUCAUUCUACGGGUUUCUCAUUGUAACUCUCAACUAUUCAUCAAUUUUCAUCGCUCAUCUAAAGGGAAUCUUCAAUGAAAUCAAUUCUUUUCGUUUGUCGAAUUCGCAAUGGAAAAACCUUACUUUUGGUUUGUCGAUUUUUGCAGAUAUGUUUGAGUAAAUAUGAGUUCUCUUGCUGAAAACAACAACAAUGAAGAUUACCAGGUUGAUUAGAUCAUAUUAUACUACAAUGAUCGAUGCUCAAAAAUAUGCUUCUGAGCCAUUGUAGAUUCAAAUAUUGCUGACCCAUUGUUGGCUGAAUUUGACAAAAUUUACAAUUAAGACAAACGUAAUUCGAAUGCUCAAUAAUUGGGACUUGCCAACGAUUUGGAGCAAGGUAGUGCAUCUCCAAUGCUACAUUAGUGUCAUAGCACGCUGAGUGAUUUUCCUAAUCUUUCUAAAUACCUUUUUUAAUAGUGGGACAAAUUUCUUUUGCUCGGUGAUUCUACAAACUCUUGCUGCUACUAUACCACUGUCACUUGCUGCUCUAUAAACAAGAUAAUGGUGGCUUCUACAUUAUUAUUGGUUCGUCUCUUGAAGGUUGAAGGCACUGGUGGCUAUUCUUAAGGUUCAGCCAAGACUAUACAUUCGAAGCAAGCAAGAUCAUAACUAUAUGAGGAACAUUUUCAAAGUUGAAGGCACUGGUGGCUAUUCUUAAGGUUCAGCCAAGACUAUACAUUGCCCUAUGGAAGAAGAAUCCCAUAAAGAAAUCUCUUUAGCAUUUUUACAUGGAUCCAAGUAAAUUUAUGGGAAAUUGAGGGGAUCAAAUUUGAAGGGUCGCCACAAGUCAAUUUGAUCUCGUUGAAGUGGAUGAUGAAGAGUUUUUGAACUAUUGUAAAAGUUUGAGUACAUUAUAUUUAAUUUUGUGAAAUAUAUUCAUUGCUAGAAUAUAUUGAACUAUUGUAAGAGUACUUUUCGAGCUAUUGUGUACACAUAUUUAGAAUAUUGCUUUAUAAGUAUGUGUAUGUACACAAGACAUACUAUCUUUUGAAGUUUA